Molecule: small nuclear RNA, 311 nt
Filed under: Heterocephalus glaber (naked mole-rat)
Lineage: Eukaryota; Metazoa; Chordata; Mammalia; Rodentia; Bathyergidae
Description: 7SK RNA
Rfam family: 7SK RNA
About the family: 7SK was discovered as an abundant small nuclear RNA in the mid-70s but a possible function has only recently been suggested. Two independent studies have found that 7SK RNA binds the CDK9/cyclin T complex (known as elongation factor P-TEFb). P-TEFb activates transcription by phosphorylating the C-terminal domain of RNA polymerase II.
Source: Rfam by way of RNAcentral
GGAUGUGAGGGCAAUCUGGGUGUGAUGUCUGUCACCCCAUUGAUCACCAGGGUUAAUUCUGCUGAUCCAGAUGGCUAAGCGGACGUCCCCUUCCUCCUUCAGGGCUCCACGUGCGUCCUUCACAUCCCUCCCAAAGCAGCGCGCUUGCACAGAGGACGACCAUCCAGGAUAGAGGAGGACCUUUUCUUCAGUCAAGAGUAUAUGAGUAGCUGUGCUCCCCUGCUAAAAUAGUUUCGCUAGUUAAAUUUGCAUUAUUUUAAUUUUACCACAAUAAAAAAGUAAUAUAUUAAUAUAAAUAUAUUAUAUAUAAU